RNAcentral lists this ribosomal RNA (439 nucleotides) under uncultured bacterium. Its description in RNAcentral is "partial 16S ribosomal RNA". It matches the Rfam family "Bacterial small subunit ribosomal RNA", at positions 339 to 795 of the family's 1533-position model. The record is from RNAcentral.
CUACGGGCCGCUCCAGUGGGGAAUCUUGCACAAUGGAGGAAACUCUGAUGCAGCGAUGCCGCGUGAGUGAAGAAGGCCCUUGGGUUGUAAAGCUCUUUUGUCGGGAAAGAUAAUGACUGUACCCGAAGAAUAAGGUCCGGCUAACUUCGUGCCAGCAGCCGCGGUAAUACGAAGGGACCUAGCGUAAUUCGGAAUUACUGGGCGUAAAGCGCGCGUAGGCGGUUAAGUAAGUUAAUUGUGAAAGCCCAAAGCUCAACUUUGGAAUUGCAAUUAAAACUACUUAGCUAGAGUUUAUCAGAGGAAAGCGGAAUACAUAGUGUAGAGGUGAAAUUCGUAGGUAUUAUGUAGAACACCAGUUGCGAAGGCGGCUUUCUGGGAUAACACUGACGCUGAGGUGCGAAAGUAUGGGUAGCGAAGAGGAUUAGAUACCCCUGUAGUC